This 497-nucleotide ribosomal RNA is filed under the name uncultured bacterium. Its description in RNAcentral is "partial 16S ribosomal RNA". It matches the Rfam family "Bacterial small subunit ribosomal RNA", at positions 28 to 507 of the family's 1533-position model. The record is from RNAcentral.
GAUGAACGCUGGCGGCGUGCCUAAUACAUGCAAGUCGAGCGAACAGACGAGGAGCUUGCUCCUCUGACGUUAGCGGCGGACGGGUGAGUAACACGUGGAUAACCUACCUAUAAGACUGGGAUAACUUCGGGAAACCGGAGCUAAUACCGGAUAAUAUAUUGAACCGCAUGGUCCAAUAGUGAAAGACGGUUUUGCUGUCACUUAUAGAUGGAUCCGCGCCGCAUUUGCUAGUUGGUAGGGUAACGGCAUACCAAGGCAACCAUGCGUAGGCGCCACGAGAGGGUGGAUGGCCACCUUGGAACUGAGACACGGUCGACACUCCUGGGCUAGGCCACAGUCGGGAAUCUUCCGCAAUGGGGGAAAGCCUGACGGAGGAACACCGCGUGAGUGAUGAACGACUCGGGAUGGUAGAGCUAUGUUAUUAUGAGAGAACUAAUGUGUUUGUAACUAUGCACAUCUUGACGGUACCUGAACAGGAAGCCACGGCUAACUACGUG